Molecule: ribosomal RNA, 468 nt
Filed under: uncultured bacterium
Lineage: Bacteria
Description: partial 16S ribosomal RNA
Rfam family: Bacterial small subunit ribosomal RNA
Source: RNAcentral
GACGAACGCUGGCGGCGUGCUUAACACAUGCAAGUCGAACGGAAAGGCCCUGCUUUUGUGGGGUGCUCGAGUGGCGAACGGGUGAGUAACACGUGAGUAACCUGCCCUUGACUUUGGGAUAACUUCAGGAAACUGUGGCUAAUACCGGAUAGGAGCUCCUGCUGCAUGGUGGGGGUUGGAAAGUUUCGGCGGUUGGGGAUGGACUCGCGGCUUAUCAGCUUGUUGGUGGGGUAGUGGCUUACCAAGGCUUUGACGGGUAGCCGGCCUGAGAGGGUGACAGGCCACAUUGGGACUGAGAUACGGCACAGACUCCUACGGGAGGCAGCAGUGGGGAAUAUUGCACAAUGGGCGGAAGCCUGAUGCAGCAACGCCGCGUGCGGGAUGACGGCCUUCGGGUUGUAAACCGCUUUCGCCUGUGACGAAGCGUGAGUGACGGUAAUGGGUAAAGAAGCACCGGCUAACUACGUG